UUUAACGGAUGUCCUUAUGCCAUUCCAUUGACGUUGCGUGGGCGCAUAACUGCACUUAACUUUAAAUAGCGAAUGAGAGGUCAAGUCUUUCGUAUUGUGUCAAGUACAUUGAUGCAUCUUAGUGUACUUAGAUGGGAACUCCAUCUUUUAACACAUCUUUGUCAUCUUCUUUUAGAUAAAAACAUAUCUCUCUGUUUUAGAGUAAAGAUUUUGACUAAUCAUGGGAGUGUUGGCCUCACUUUCGUUAGAACGCCUAAGCCGAUUGAUCGAAAAUCAUCAUUUAUACAAUCCUCGAGUGCCUUUUUGAGACUGUCUUCCCAAGAUCUUUUUCAUUCUUAACUUCGGAUGUUCGAUACAUAUUGACAUCUCUUAGUCCAUCAAGAGUCUAUGUAAAUCCGGAAUCAAUAAGCAAGGGCAUAAUUCACUAUAUCCCUUCCCAAUCAAGUAGUUACUUUAGUGUGCAGUCCAACUCUUCUUUCAAACACACGCUCUUGUGGUUCGGAGCCACUUGAUUUGGGUGAAUGAAGUCUAUUCAAGACCUUCACGCAUAUCUCUGAUUCCAUAGAGAUGUUAUUAUGACCACAUUCAUAGGCUGCAUGUUCAGUUAUUCGGAAACUACCAAACUGAUAAAGUAGUGGAGUGCAAAGACAUCCAUUACGAGAGCAUAUCUCAUCGUAGUCGAUCCCAGUGCGUGUAAGUGAGACCUUGCGCCAUAAGGUGAGUCAAAACUCUUGUUCUCACUGCGCUAUCUAACAAAGACAUAUUUGAUAGGGUUUACACUUGCGGUGUCAGCAUCACCUGCCCAAGAACCUAUCUCUUUGUUCUGGAUCGCAUCGUUCCAUUAGGCCAAUCUGCUACGUCGAUUUAUCAACGAAGUGUGGUUCGAUAAAUGACUUGAAUCAUAAACCGCAAGCGUACGAAUCGUGUCAAGUAAGAGAAAUAUUUAGACCUUAUUUAUCGUACCACGAGGAUUAGGUUGGACCUAACCGAGGUAAUCGCCUCUAGUUUACUUAAAAACACACAAGAAAGAAAAUAAACAAAAAUAAAGAAAACUAUAAACACUGAAGACACCAAGCCUUGGCAAUGCUCGGCCAGCUCGCACUAAGCCUAAUCAAAACCCCCUAACUUGUAGCCCUAAGGUGGAUAUGCACAANNNNNNNNNNNNNNNNNNNNNNNNNNNNNNNNNNNNNNNNNNNNNNNNNNNNNNNNNNNNNNNNNNNNNNNNNNNNNNNNNNNNNNNNNNNNNNNNNNNNNNNNNNNNNNNNNNNNNNNNNNNNNNNNNNNNNNNNNNNNNNNNNNNNNNNNNNNNNNNNNNNNNNNNNNNNNNNNNNNNNNNNNNNNNNNNNNNNNNNNNNNNNNNNNNNNNNNNNNNNNNNNNNNNNNNNNNNNNNNNNNNNNNNNNNNNNNNNNNNNNNNNNNNNNNNNNNNNNNNNNNNNNNNNNNNNNNNNNNNNNNNNNNNNNNNNNNNNNNNNNNNNNNNNNNNNNNNNNNNNNNNNNNNNNNNNNNNNNNNNNNNAUGAACAGAUGUCUUCAUCAUGUGGUCACAUGCAUCCAGAAACGGAGGAUAGUGCAGUGGUACCUGACUAUAGCCCAGAGAGUUUUUGUUAAUAUUUGAAUGAAAUACCUGCAUUAAUCUUUAACAUACUGUAACUAUGGAUGCUUAGCCCAGUCAAAUUGUCAUAAUUCCCGUUUGUUAAGCAAAAAAAGUCAAAGAGUCUACCUCUUAUUAAUAAGCAAGAGAGUAAUUAGGAAUUAAUUGAAAACAAAAUAUCCAUAAUGCAUACAUAUUCGAUUAAAUUCAUGGCUUCAAUCCAAAUUUCUAUAUUAAUCAGUUAAACCUGUUACUUAAUUUUUUGGAUUAUACAAAAUUUUACAUUCAUAUUUUCGAAGUUUUUACUGAAAGACAAUUUAGCCUAGCCUAUUUUGAAAUCCUAACUCCGUCCCUGCAUGCAUCUGAACACAAUAAAACCUGAAAGACCUCUCCUCUUUUGAAGAAGUCCAAAACAAAACCACAUAUAUAUAUAUAUAUAUAUAUAUAUAUAUCUCUAACGCAUAAGAGCUAUAUGUGGAAGCGUUUCCAGUUAACAUAUUACAAAUGACACGACCCANNNNNNNNNNNNNNNNNNNNUUCUUUCCCACUGGCAAGAAAUGUGCAGACUUGGUGAGUCUAUCCACAAUCACCCAAAUACCGUCAUGCCCUUCACGGGUACGAGGUAAACUAAAAACAAAAUCCAUGGUGAUGUGGUCCCACUUUCACAUUGGAAUAGGCAACGGCUCAAGCAAUCCAGAAGGCUUCUGCCUUUCAGCUUUUACUUGCUGACAAACCAGACAUCUACUCACAUAAGCUGCAAUUUCCCUCUUCAUGUUUGGCCACCAAUAAUAAUCCUUCAAAAUCCGAUACAUUUUUGUGCUACCCGGAUGAGCAGCAUAUGCAGAGCUAUGAGCUUCCUCCAUAAUCUCACUCUUCAACUCUUCAUUUCUUUUUGGAACACAUAGCCGGUUCUUAAACAACAGAGUCCCAUCUCUUCUAAUUGAAAAAUGAUCGGCUGCGGCUCCAUUCGAAGCUCUUUCCAUCAAUCGAACUAUGGAAGGAUCAUUCUACUGUGCUUCCCGCACUCUAUCAACCAAAACUGGCCUCACAUGAAAACUGGCUAUCAAAGCACCAACCUCAUCUACUGACAAAUCCACUCCUGUAGCUCGCAACUCACAAAGAAGCGGAACACGAACCAUCUUUAUAUGAGAUAAAGAUAUGGAGGGAUUUCGACUAAGAGCAUCAGCUACCAUAUUAGCUUUUCCAGGAUGAUACUCAAUAGUGCAAUCGUAAUCAUUGAUUAACUCCAUCCACCUUCUCUGUCUCAUAUUUAGCUCCCUUUGAGUGAACACAUACCGAAGACUCUUGUGAUCGGUAAAAAUCUGACACUUGGCUCCAUAAAGAUAGUGUCUCCACAACUUGAGAGCAAAAACUACCGCUGCAAGCUCCAAAUCAUGGGUAGGAUAAUUCCCCUCAUGCAGCUUCAAUUGCCUAGAAGCGUAGGCAAUAACUCGAUCAUGCUGCAUCAAAACUCCACCUAGACCACGUCUAGAAGCAUCACAAUAGACCACAUACUCUCCACUAUCAUCCGGAAGUGCCAAAACAGGAGCACUUGUUAAGCAAUUCUUCAAUUCUUGGAAACUUUGCUCACAUUGAUUUGAUCAUUCAAACUUAACCCCCUUCCUGGUCAAUCUUGUGAGAGGAGCAGCAAUCUUUGAAAAAUCUUUCACAAAGCGCCGAUAAUAACCUGCUAAUCCCAAGAAAUUACGAAUCUCCGUCACAGUGGUGGGUCUUCUCCAAUUCGACACUGCUUCCACCUUUUGAGGACCCACACUAACUCCUUCUGCCGAAAUCACAUGACCCAAAAACCCCACUUUAUCUAGCCAAAACUCACACUUGCUAAACUUAGCGAAUAACUGCGACUUUUCCAAAGUCCGCAAUAUUAUUCUUAGAUGCUUGGCAUGCUCCUUCUCACUUCUUGAGUAAACCAAUAUGUCAUCUAUGAAUACGAUCACGAAACGAUCAAGGUAUGGACUAAACACCCUAUUCAUGAGAUCCAUGAACGCCGCGGGUGCAUUAGUAAGUCCAAAUGGCAUCACCACAAACUCAUAAUGACCAUAUCGUGACCGAAAAGCAGUCUUGGCUAUGUCCCCCUCUCGGAUCCGCAACUGAUGAUAACCCGAUCUCAAAUCAAUCUUAGAGAAAACAGAGGCACCCCUCAACUGAUCAAAUAAAUCAUCGAUUCGAUGCAACAGAUAUUUAUUCUUCACUGUGACCUGAUUCAACUUUCUAUAAUCAAUGCAUAGUCUCAUGGUGCCAUCUUUCUUCUUAACAAACAACACUGGAGCACCCCAUGGAGACAUGCUAGGCCGAAUAAAACCCUUAUCUACCAACUCCUGCAAUUGAGUCUUCAACUCUUUCAAUUCCGCUGGAGCCAUUCUGUAAGGUGCCUGAGAAAUAGGCAAAGUUCCAGGAAGUAAUUCUAUAGAGAAGUCUAUCUCCCUUGCAGGAGGCAAACUAGGCAACUCCUCAGGAAAAACAUCCGGAAACUCCCUUACUACUGGAAUAUCUUCUAAUCCCACAACUCCCAUACUUGUAUCCACCACAUGAGCUAAAUAUGCCUGACAGCCUUUACUCAACAAUUUCCUUGCAGUAACAGCGGAAAUUAUGCAACUAGAAAUAACAUCUCUUUCCCCUUGGAAAGCAACCUCAAAACCAUCUGGACUUCGAAGCACCACUACUUUCUGAAAACAAUCUACCAUAGCUCUAUAUGCUUCCAAAAAGUCCAUUCCCAAGAUCACAUCAAACUCCACUAUAUCUAAAGGGAUUAAAUAGCCUCGAAAUUAACUCCUUCCACUAAAACUUCACAACCACUAAAUACCCAAUUUAUUCUCAUCACCUCACCGGAGGGUAGAGACACAUGCCACUCGCCUGGAAGAGACGAUGAUGGCACAUUGGCAUGGAGGGCAAAUCUACUAGACAUGAAUGAAUGCGUGGCUCCGGGAUCAAUUAAAGUAAAAGCAGGCUGACCGAAAAUUAAUAACGUACCAAUGAUGACAUCUGGAGAAGUACGACCCUCUUGCUGGGUCAUAGCAUGCAGUCUAGCGUGAGUCAUGGGACGUCCACGCUGACCACCGCCCCACUGAGAGCCACCUCUGACAGAUGCACUGCCCUGGGCACCACUACUGGAGCCCCUAGCUGAAGACUGACCAACUGGCUGAGUAGGGGUGGGGGUGGUCCUCUGAGCCAACAAUGGGCAAUCUCUCGUGAAGUGGUCUUGACCACCACACUCAAAGCACCCAGAAAACUGCUGCUGCCCAUAAGAAAAAGUCUGGCUACCGGAUGACCCACCAUGGAAACUACCACCAGAACCAUACUGCCCAGACUGCUGCCUACCCAAAUGACUCCGAGAAGAACUUCUGAAACGUCCCUUAGACCUGCUUCGAACACCAGAGCUAGAUCUACCACUACUUCCACUACCAGCUGAAGAACCAGAAGCGGAUGAUGAAGCAGCUUUCUUGGAUGGACCCUGACUGGGGCCACCGAAAUCUCGUGGCCGAGCACUAUAAAUCCCCAUAGACUCAAUGGCCAUGGCUGCAUGAACAGCAUCAGGAAAAUUCGGGUAAUAAACACCCGUCAUCUUAUCUGCAAACACUCCACCAAGUGCCCCAAUGAACAUCUCCAUCCUGGUCCUCUCAUCAGGAACCAGAUAUGACACAUGGUAGCUCAGGGAAGUGAAUCUCUCCUGGAACUCUAUAACCCCCUCAUCAUCCCUCUUCUUCAUAUUCAGGAAAUCCGACUGAAUUCUGCUGCGGUGGGCAGGACUGAAAUACUACCCCAAGAAGAGAGUCUUAAACUGCUCCCACGACAUAUUCAGCGCAUCCUCAACAUUCCUGCUGGCAAGCGACCACCAGUGAUGUGCUGAAUCAUCCAGAAAAGUUACUGCUAUCUUCACCUUUCUUUCUUCUGGCAGCUCAGUGCUUGCAAAAGCCUUUUCCAUCUUAUCCACCCAAUUGUGAGCAUCAAGAGGUCUCUUGGCACCCUUGAACUCUCUGGCUCCAGCUUCAAAAACUUCUCUCAUUUUCACAACAGGAGGGCGUGGAGCUCGAUCCAUGACAUCCCUCAGCAUAUUUCCAAUAUCAUCAACCAGUCCUCUGACCUCAUUGCCCUCAUCGGCAUUGGUCGAAGUGGCCACACGGGGUUGUCGUGGGCGCCUAGGAGGCAUAGUACCUGAGGAAGAAGAAAUUUAGUAGUCCAUAAACAAGACUAACACAACAAUCACACAUACCCAAUAACACAUAGCAUCAAAAGCAUAAAAUGCCAAUGAAUCCACCGCGGUCGGAUCAUCACUCUAUAGACACUACGUGCUACUUAGGCAAAUAUGAUAGUGACAAGGAAGCAGGAAAAGGAAACCUAUAGCUCUGAUACCAACUGACACGACCCACCCCGAAUUUCACCCUGAAACCCAGAGUAAGUCGUGCGGGGACCACCUCGAAGGAAAAAUUUACUGAGAAGAUUGAUAGAAUCUCCCUUGAAAAUGGACAACCCUAACGAAGUGUGGUUCGAUAAAUGACUUGAAUCAUAAACCGCAAGCGUACGAAUCGUGUCAAGUAAGAGAAAUAUUUAGACCUUAUUUAUCGUACCACGAGGAUUAGGUUGGACCUAACCGAGGUAAUCGCCUCUAGUUUACUUAAAAACACACAAGAAAGAAAAUAAACAAAAAUAAAGAAAACUAUAAACACUGAAGACACCAAGCCUUGGCAAUGCUCGGCCAGCUCGCACUAAGCCUAAUCAAAACCCCCUAACUUGUAGCCCUAAGGUGGAUAUGCACAAAUGAGUCGAUAGUUGAAAAGAAGUUGAAUUGGGGAUUAACUAAAUUAACACAAACUACAAUGAAAGUAAACAACAAACUAACAAAUUAGAAAGUAAAUUUGGUUUUUCAAAUCAAUGGGGACAUGGGAGUGUCGGGUGAUCCACACUAACCCUCUUGCAAAUAUUGAUACUAAUUUCACAAACGCAUGCAUUUCUUACAUGGAUCGAGUUCAAAUGUAUUAAAUCUUAGAACUUUGCGUUAUCUAAAACUUGGGGCCGCUUCUAUUGCAGAUCGCUGAGUUGCAGACAAUAUGCGAACUUUCAAAAUGAGUAUGUUGGAUUACAUGAACAGAUGUCUUCAUCAUGUGGUCACAUGCAUCCAGAAACGGAGGAUAGUGCAGUGGUACCUGACUAUAGCCCAGAGAGUUUUUGUUAAUAUUUGAAUGAAAUACCUGCAUUAAUCUUUAACAUACUGUAACUAUGGAUGCUUAGCCCAGUCAAAUUGUCAUAAUUCCCGUUUGUUAAGCAAAAAAAGUCAAAGAGUCUACCUCUUAUUAAUAAGCAAGAGAGUAAUUAGGAAUUAAUUGAAAACAAAAUAUCCAUAAUGCAUACAUAUUCGAUUAAAUUCAUGGCUUCAAUCCAAAUUUCUAUAUUAAUCAGUUAAACCUGUUACUUAAUUUUUUGGAUUAUACAAAAUUUUACAUUCAUAUUUUCGAAGUUUUUACUGAAAGACAAUUUAGCCUAGCCUAUUUUGAANNNNNNNNNNNNNNNNNNNNGCCGGAGGCCAAUUCCGGCGACCUCCAAAACCUAUGAAAUUUUGACAGAAUAAUCCUCUCAUCAUGCUCUACAACUUUUCCUAACUAGCACAAACACCAAUUCCAAGCCUAACUAGGGUAAUCGACUAAAAACACAAAAAACGCCAAAAAACUUCCACCUCAAAUUUCUCCUUACCUAGCUCAAGAGGGAGUGAGUCCUUUUAGGGCAAGGCUGCUGGGUUGGAGGGCUACAAAACCGUACCAAGCUUGCCCAGAUUGGUGGCCGGAGGAGGAAGUUCCGGCGAAAAGCUUCCCGGCGUUUCCGGCGGGUUUUCUCCUCUUCCGGCGGGUUAGAGGCUCGGGGGCUAGGCCGGGGAGGGAGACGAGGAGAUGGGGGUCCGAACUGAGGUGGAGAGGCGGCAGGUGGUGGCCGGACGGCGGCAGGAGCACGGUUGGAAAACCGGGCAGCGGGAGGGGCUCGGGAGAGAGAGCGAACCAGGAGGAGAAAAGAGAAGAAAAGAGAAAAUGGGUUUGCGCCUCACUCCCCAAACCGGUCCAAGCUUAUAACAACCCAAUUCCAAAAAUAAAACACCCCGAAAAAUAAUAACCGAAUAAAAAUUACUUUUUACUAGCUAAAAUUUACCAUUUUUACCGUCGUCGAAUUUUCCUCCUACGAAUAAUCCUCCACACAUAAUCAUCCCCGAAACCCCUCUAGGGACCACUUAAACUAUUAACUCAAUGAUCGAGACGGUAAAAUUCUUAUUAUAAUCACGCUAGUAAAUAAGGUAAAAAUAUAAGUGUCGGGAUGUGACAACAAAUCUUUUUCAACUGGUUUUCUCCUAAGUUCAGUUCCUGUCAUGAUUUUGCUUUAUCUUACAUAUCCAUAUUCCAUAUAUAUCAGCCGUUCAGCAUCCCAUAGCUGAAGGAGGAGGGAAAUUUAAAGAACUUGUUAAUCUUGUUAUUUAAAGAACUUGAAAGGAAAGAGUAAGAAUUAAUGAACUUGUUAAUUUUGCCCAUGGAGAAGAAUUUGUCAAUUGUCCAGAAUUGAGAUUGAAAGAGAGCUAGAAAAGAAGCCAUGAAUGACGGCAACAAAAUAAAGUGGAAUAAGAAGGAUAGACCACACCCGGGACCCGGUGUCGGUGGUUUCUAAGCACUCAACACGUGAGUGGGAAAAGUAAAAGAAAAUAAAACAAAUUCAAAUAUUUUUCCAGAAAUUGUUAAACACAAAACAUUUUGUAAUAACAAAACAAUUACAGAGGUAAAAAUAGGUCUUGCGAUCUAUCUAACUUCUAAUCUUCCGUACUUUCGACUCUUGUACACAUAAGCUAACGUCACAAUUAGUCUUCUUGAAAGGCAUGUCAUACCUGAACAAUAAUCUAUAGGGGUGAGCUUACGCUCAGUAGGGCCAAACCUUUUUAGGUUAUUCUUAACUACGUCGCACAAUCAAGUUGUCAAAUAUCAAACAACACUUUAUAUAUAACAAAAAUGAUUGAUGCACAAAUGCUAAUGAACUCCCACCACUCAAUUACUAGCUAUUUAGUCCAUACAUCAAAGACAUAUAAGCCUACACAUCCCAUACCAUGUAGAUGUCUCCAAUAUUCGACCUAACAAAUCAGUAAUAUCUAAACUCCAAUACUUCUUUUGUUAGUCGUCUUGUUACUCAUGGUCUCUAAACCCGAAACCCGAUUAGAUCGCUUUAUCACGUCCGCCGUCGAAGGGUUCUGCAUUCCCCAGUUCGUACACUUAUGGGCUGGCAUGGAUUCAUGGAUAACCCAUAAGAAAACUCAAUUACACAAAAUGUUUCAUUUCUCUCGGUCUCAUUCUCAUCUCUGUAGAAUCACUAUUCUCACCACUCUCUCAAUUCCUCACAAUGCAUUAUGUAUGUCAAUGAGUAUCAAUACUCGUAAUAUAUCAUUCAACACAUGCUUUUCUAGAAAGCAAUAACACCAAUCAUAUAACUCAACGAUUAUACAUGCUUUUAAGAAAACGAUAACAUCCAAGAGUUAAUCACUCAAUGGCAAACAAUUCACUGAUUUCAAUAAUAAUCUAAUUAUCAAUUUAAAGAAAGGUUCCCCGAGAAAGAUUUGAUAGGAAUUCUACCUAGAAUUCCUCUGCGAAAGUAGACAAGUGCGAAACAAUAUAGAUAAACGAUCGAGAAAU
RNAcentral lists this long non-coding RNA (9258 nucleotides) under Fragaria vesca (wild strawberry). Its description in RNAcentral is "long non-coding RNA (FVES_LNC000327)". Lineage: Eukaryota; Viridiplantae; Streptophyta; Magnoliopsida; Rosales; Rosaceae. The record is from RNAcentral.